RNAcentral lists this ribosomal RNA (677 nucleotides) under uncultured Ascomycota. RNAcentral's name for it is "eukaryotic LSU rRNA". The stretch from base 262 to 416 matches the Rfam family "5.8S ribosomal RNA". The record is from RNAcentral. Lineage: Eukaryota; Fungi; Ascomycota.
CUUGGUCAUUUAGAGGAAGUAAAAGUCGUAACAAGGUUUCCGUAGGUGAACCUGCGGAAGGAUCAUUACAGAGUUAGGGUCUUCCAGGCCCGACCUCCCAACCCUUUGAUUAUUGAACCUCUGUUGCUUCGACGGACCCGUCUUCAUGGACCGCCGGAGGAUCGCGCCUCAGCGUCCUCUGGCCCGCGUCCGUCGAUAGCCAACCUAUUAAACUCUUAACUAAUCGUGUCAUAUGUCUAAGCAAGUAUUAAAUUAAAGCAAAACUUUCAACAACGGAUCUCUUGGUUCUGGCAUCGAUGAAGAACGCAGCGAAAUGCGAUAAGUAAUGCGAAUUGCAGAAUUCCAGUGAGUCAUCGAAUCUUUGAACGCACAUUGCGCCCUUUGGAAUUCCGAAGGGCAUGCCUGUUCGAGCGUCAUUAUCACCCCUCAAGCCCUCGGCUUGGUGUUGGACGGUUUGGUGGAGACCCCCCUCGGGUGGGCUUUCUACCCCUCCCAAAGACAAUGACGGCGGCCUCGUUGGACCCCCGGUACACUGAGUUCUUCACGGGACACGUAUCGGACACAUGGGUUUACGGGACACGGUCUGCCUCCCCUCAGGGAGAAUCUUUUUUUAUCAAGGUUGACCUCGGAUCAGGUAGGGAUACCCGCUGAACUUAAGCAUAUCAAUAAGCGGAGGA